RNAcentral lists this non-coding RNA (179 nucleotides) under Viridibacillus arenosi. Lineage: Bacteria; Bacillati; Bacillota; Bacilli; Caryophanales; Caryophanaceae. RNAcentral also lists the same sequence under 1 other name. The record is from RNAcentral.
AGUAUGUGAGCGAAAAAAGGUACCAUAUACGGUUUGAAAGGGAAUUCGGAAGAGAAACCGAAGCUGUCCCCGCAACUGUGAAUGCGGACAACUGUCAAUUAACCACUGAGCAAUGCUUGGGAAGGAUGACAAUUGGAUGAUGCAUGAGCCAGUAGACCUGCCUUUUUCGCAUGACGACA